UGAUCCUUAAAGGACUAUGGAACCUCCAAUGGUUUGAACAAGAACACAGUAAUUCUCUAUCAGAGACGAGUCUCGAAUUCUACAAUAGACCGGUUUAGGCAGCAGAAACAACAACAUUCACAUAUGAUGUAGAUGAUGAAGGUAGCCAGCCAAGAGAGCGAGAUUAUUUGGGUCCCCAGGAGUCCAGGUAGAUGAUCUUGGACAUCGAAUCCUCGGUGCGCCUGGCUCUCUCCACCGCUUUCUCCCCUCCUCUCCUCCACUGAUCAAUGGAAGAAGAAGACAUCCUCUUGGCCCGAGAGAACGGCGCCAUGCUGCGCUUGGCACGCCCGUGGAGGGACCUGAGCGCGUAGUUCCAUCGACACAGGCCCGCCUGAUCCUUGAGCGCCUCCACCGCCGCCACGCUCGCUGCGACGAUCAGCGAAGCCUUGCUUGCCGAAGCCAUAUGUAUCAAUCUACUACUCAGUAGUUUGAACCUGUGAUGAGUUGCAAAUGUUACAGAAGUGGGCGACGGGGAAGGGAAACACAAGCGUCCAUAUAAAGCCCCCGAGGAAGGGAAAACAGGGGAUGAGAUUGCCGCUGGUUUCGGCUCAUAGUUGUUUCCCAGAUACAAGGGGAGGCUUUUGCUUGUUUACGGAUAAGACUGUGACUGCAUUGGAAUCAGUGAGACGGAUGGUUUGGUAGGAGAAAACGUGUGGCUAAAGUAGAACAAAAGGCACACGGAUCGGAGACCUGUGGGCGGCACCAGUAAACCGGGAAUCUAACGGUUGAUCAGCCAUCCUUGCUUGGCUUGGCGAUCCUGUCGAGAUGUGAGGUUUGGUCUCUCUCUAUCUCUCUCUCUCUCUCUCUCUCACACACACAUCUUUGAGUCGAGCAACUGCGGAUGGAUUCCCUUCUUACUCCUGUUUUUGUUUCGGUAACAAAGGUCACUCAGCAUCAGUCUCUUGCUGGAUCGAUAAUAGUAUCUAUCUAAAACAAAUUCUCUCUUUUUUUAUUGUUCUUGUAUGAGCUGAAGAUAAAGAAAGGGAUAAACAUUGGUGAGAGAUGGGAGAGAGUGAUCUUUCGAAGAUGUGAUUGAUUUAGCAUAGCUUCUGCCGAUGGAUUUCAUGUCAUCCUUUGCUCCUUUUAAUCAGUUCCAUCGAAUAUAUAUGAGAUAAGACGAGAAAUGCCACAAACAUCUUGAACAAACUUAUCCAUGCCAUGAAAAGGCCUCAUCAUGUUCGAACAAUUCAGUAUAUAUUACUGCAAAAUCGGAUUGUUUUUACAUAGGAGACGUAGGCUGAACAGAGAAGAAGGAUUUGGUUCAUCUUUGAACCAAACACAAAGACACCUCUCUCUAAUUGGGACCCCAACAGCUCAAGUACACGACCGUCCUCAGUGCCUCCUCUGCUUGCUUGGCCUUCGCAUCCGCCGCCUGCCACUCUCUCCUCGUGUCGAUGGAGGAAGAUGUCCUCUUGGCCCGAGACAAGGAGCCUACGGUGUUGUUCUUCGUCCGCUGCUGCAGAGAUCUGAGGACGUAGUUCCACCGGCAUAGCCCCGCUUGGUCCUUGAGCGCUUCCACUGCGCUCAUGCUAGCCGCGACAACGAAACAAGCCCUGCUUGCAGAAGCCAUAUCUUUAGCCUAUGAAAGAACUGAUGAGUGACAAAGAAGAUCUCGGUGGAAGUAGAUCGUGAGUGUCUCAAUCUGAUGCCGAAGAAGGAGAUGGAAGGGUGUCCAAUAUAUAAGGCUACGGUAAUCGAGGAGGUUGGGAGGAGAGGGUAUGGAAGAGAAAGAGAACCGGGGUGCGCUGCUGCUGGUUUCUUGCUUCUCACUCCCCCUUCCCCUGAUACCAGCGGCCAUAUUGCUUGUUUAUUAGCUUCCACAUGGUUGGAUUUGACACCGCGAGAGUGACGCCAAGGAACUUGGCAGCAUAUGUAUCUUGGAUCUGUAAUAUGUAUAGUAUAGUAUAGUAUAGUAUAGCAUAUAUAUAUAUAUAUAUAUGGUUUCAUCCAAUAAAUUUAUAUCUGAAAUAUUAAUUUCAAGAUGAUAUACGUAUUUAUUUAUCUCCGUAAAAUUAAGCUACAAAAUCUGCAUGUCCAUAAUAAUAAUGGAGAUGAUCACAAAACCCAAGCGAGACGAAUGGCGUCGUCUCUACAACACUCCUAUUUGGGUCCCCAGCAGUCCAAGUAGAUGAGCUUGGACAAGGACCUCUCGGUGCGCUUGGCUCUCUCCACCGCUCCCUCCCCUCCUUUCCUCCACUGAUCAACGGACGACCAAGACAUCCUCUUGGCCUGAGAGAGCGUCGCCAUGCUGCGUUUCGCCCGCUGGUGGAGGGACCCAACCGUGUAGUUCCAUCGGCACAGCCCUGCUUGAUCCUUGAGCGCCUCCACAGCCGCCAUGCUCGCUGCGAUUAUCAACGAAGCCUUGCUUGCCGAAACCAUACGUAUCAAUCGCCUGCUCUGAGUUUGAAUCUGUGUAACAGAAGUGAGUGUUCGACGGGGAAAGGGAAAGAGCACACGACAGUCCAUAUAAAGCCCGGAACGGAGGGCGGCUGCAGGGAAGGGAGAGGUGGAGGAAGGAGGAAACUGGGGAUGAGCUGCUGCUGCUGCUGGUUUUGGGUUGCUGUUGUUUUCCAGAUACGGAGGGCUUUCGGUAGGCACUUAAAAAAUAUCCAUCUACUAAAGCAGAAGCAAAGCCACACGGAUCGAAAAAUGGUGGGCUCGACUUGCAGUGGGUGCACGAGGAAACUGGGAAUCCAGCGACGCAGAUAUGGAUUGUUCUGUCAGCUGGGUUGUCCUGUUUAUUUGGUUUUUGCCUUCAGCUCUGGUUAAGAAUUAGGGUUCGAUCAAUAUCAAUAAUGAUGCUCGAAUUACGAAACAAGUAACUAUAUCAAUACAUAGAUUCCUUUGUUGGUAACUCAUCUGGAAUGACGCGAGCUUAGCCAUCCAUCAUUGCUGGAAAGUAUUUGUGUGAGUUGAAAACUGUGGUGAAAGUGUAGGAAGUUUACUGUCUCACCGAGAAAGAGAACACUUUGGCGAAGAAUUCAGAUCGAUGGACACAAGGAAAACAUUUCUAACAUGCUUAUCCACGCCAUGAAAACGCAUCAUCCAUCAUGCACGCUCCAAGAAUUCAGAAGAAAUGGUUGAUGAAUAUACAUCAUCAAAGCUGGAUAAUUUACAGUGGAGAAGUAAGCUGAAGCAAAAGGAUCCUCUAAUUGGGACCCCAACAGCUCAAGUACAUGACUGUUCUCAGCGCCUCCUCCGACUGCUUCCCCUUCUCCGCCGCCGCCUGCCACCCUCUCCUACUCCUGUCGACGGAGGAAGAUGUCCUCUUGGCCUGAGACAACGACCCCAUGCUGCUCUUCGCCCGCUGCUGUAGGGAUCUGACGACGUAGUUCCACCGGCACAGCCCCGCCUGAUCCUUGAGCGCCUCCACCGCGCUCAUGCUCGCUGCCACCACCACACAAGCCCUGCUUGUACAACCC
This 3461-nucleotide long non-coding RNA is filed under the name Musa acuminata (dwarf banana). Its description in RNAcentral is "long non-coding RNA (MACU_LNC005570)". Lineage: Eukaryota; Viridiplantae; Streptophyta; Magnoliopsida; Zingiberales; Musaceae. The record is from RNAcentral.